Molecule: ribosomal RNA, 305 nt
Filed under: uncultured bacterium
Lineage: Bacteria
Description: bacterial SSU rRNA
Rfam family: Bacterial small subunit ribosomal RNA
Source: RNAcentral
GCCUACGGGGGCAGCAGUAGGGAAUUUUCGUCAAUGGGCGCAAGCCUGAACGAGCAAUGCCGCGUGAACGAGGAAGGUCUUCGGAUCGUAAAGUUCUGUUGAAGGGGAAAAAGAGCGGAGAGAGGAAAUGCUUUCUGAUUGAUAUUACCCUUCGAGGAAGUCACGGCUAACUACGUGCCAGCAGCCGCGGUAAUACGUAGGUGGCGAGCGUUAUCCGGAAUGAUUGGGCGUAAAGGGUGCGUAGGCGGCCUGCUAAGUCUGGAGUGAAAGGUACCGGCUCAACCGGUACAGGCUCUGGAAACUGG